UGAGAACCACCAAAUGGUAUACAUGGCUGA
This 30-nucleotide non-coding RNA is filed under the name Rattus norvegicus (Norway rat). Lineage: Eukaryota; Metazoa; Chordata; Mammalia; Rodentia; Muridae. The record is from RNAcentral.